RNAcentral lists this long non-coding RNA (348 nucleotides) under Manihot esculenta (cassava). RNAcentral's name for it is "long non-coding RNA (MESC_LNC008770)". The record is from RNAcentral. Lineage: Eukaryota; Viridiplantae; Streptophyta; Magnoliopsida; Malpighiales; Euphorbiaceae.
GGAUUUGGAGCUUGGAGACCCCGGAGCUAGUUUCCUCCACAUCUCCAAGGUUCGGGUCACACCAACCCUCGAUCUCCAAGAGGUUAGUGUAGAUCUCUGCUUUUCCUUAUGUUUUAAUGAGUUUUAAGUAAGUUUUAAGGAGAUUUGAUGUAUGUGUUUGGGUAGAUAUGCAUGAUAGGGUUUAUGUGAGUUUUGUGCCAAUGUAUGAUUACAUGAUGUUUUGUUGGGGUUUUAAGUUAGUUUAUGCCCCUUUAUGCAUGUGGGAGUGAGUAUGCAUGUUUGGGAGAGAGUAUGUAAGGAUUUGGGGUGUAUUGAGUUCGGUUUUUGGCUAGGCAGAAUCGGACCUGU